RNAcentral lists this ribosomal RNA (463 nucleotides) under uncultured bacterium. RNAcentral describes it as "partial 16S ribosomal RNA". It matches the Rfam family "Bacterial small subunit ribosomal RNA", at positions 28 to 507 of the family's 1533-position model. The record is from RNAcentral.
GAUGAACGCUGACAGAAUGCUUAACACAUGCAAGUCGAUGGGGAAGUGGUGCUUGCACCAUGGUAACCAUGGCGGACGGGUGAGUAACACGUAAGGAACUUACCUGCGGGACCGGGAUAACAGCAGGAAACUGCUGACAAGACCGGAUAAGGUCAUUAAGCUGCAUAGCUUAGUGAUGAAAGGAGACGCCUGCGGAGAGCCUUGCGUCCUAUUAGCUAGUUGGAGGGGUAACGGCCCACCAAGGCGAAGAUAGGUAGCCGGCCUGAGAGGGUGGACGGCCACAAGGGGACUGAGAUACGGCCCUUACUCCUACGGGAGGCAGCAGUGGGGAAUAUUGGACAAUGGGGGCAACCCUGAGCCAGCAAUUCUGUGUGCACGAAGACGGUUUUCGGAUUGUAAAGUGCUUUCAGCAGGGAAGAAGGAAGUGACGGUACCUGCAGAAGAAGCGACGGCUAAAUACGUG